This 954-nucleotide ribosomal RNA is filed under the name uncultured bacterium. RNAcentral describes it as "bacterial SSU rRNA". It matches the Rfam family "Bacterial small subunit ribosomal RNA", at positions 8 to 966 of the family's 1533-position model. The record is from RNAcentral.
AGAGUUUGAUCAUGGCUCAGAACGAACGCUGGCGGCGUGCUUAACACAUGCAAGUCGAGUGCGCGUGCCGUAGCAAUACGGCAUGGCGCACGGCGCACGGGUGCGUAACACGUGGGCAAUCUGCCCUCCGAUGGGGAAUAACCCCGCGAAAGCGGGGCUAAUACCGCAUAACAUUUCUUGGACUCCGGUCCGGGGAUUCAAAACCGCAAGGUGUCGGAGGAGGAGCCCGCGCCCGAUUAGCUAGUUGGUAGGGUAACGGCCUACCAAGGCUUUGAUCGGUAGCUGGUCUGAGAGGAUGGCCAGCCACACUGGAACUGAGACACGGUCCAGACUCCUACGGGAGGCAGCAGUGGGGAAUCUUGCGCAAUGGGCGAAAGCCUGACGCAGCGACGCCGCGUGGGGGAUGAAGCUUCUCGGAGUGUAAACCCCUUUCGACUGGGACGAAUGCCCGCAAGGGAGUGACGGUACCAGUAGAAGAAGCCCCGGCUAACUACGUGCCAGCAGCCGCGGUAAGACGUAGGGGGCCAGCGUUGUUCGGAAUUACUGGGCGUAAAGGGUUCGUAGGCGGUGUGGCAAGUCGGGAGUGAAAUCUAUGGGCUUAACUCAUAGGCUGCUUCCGAAACUGCUGUGCUUGAGUGUGGGAGAGGCGCGUGGAAUUGCAGGUGUAGCGGUGAAAUGCGUAGAUAUCUGCAGGAACACCCGUGGCGAAAGCGGCGCGCUGGACCACUACUGACGCUGAGGAACGAAAGCUAGGGGAGCAAACAGGAUUAGAUACCCUGGUAGUCCUAGCCCUAAACGAUUAGGACUUGGGGUGCCGCACGUUCGUGCGUCGUCCCGGAGCUAACGCGUUAAGUCCUGCGCCUGGGGAGUACGGUCGCAAGACUGAAACUCAAAGGAAUUGACGGGGCCCGCACAAGCGGUGGAACAUGUGGUUCAAUUCGACGCUACGCGAGG